CAGCAGCGGUAAUACAGAGGGUGCGAGCGUUAAUCGGAUUUACUGGGCGUAAAGCGUGCGUAGGCGGCUUCUUAAGUCGGAUGUGAAAUCCCUGAGCUUAACUUAGGAAUUGCAUUCGAUACUGGGAAGCUAGAGUAUGGGAGAGGAUGGUAGAAUUCCAGGUGUAGCGGUGAAAUGCGUAGAGAUCUGGAGGAAUACCGAUGGCGAAGGCAGCCAUCUGGCCUAAUACUGACGCUGAGGUACGAAAGCAUGGGGAGCAAACAGGAUUAGAUACCCCUGUAGUCCCUGUCUCUUAUACACA
Molecule: ribosomal RNA, 301 nt
Filed under: uncultured bacterium
Lineage: Bacteria
Description: partial 16S ribosomal RNA
Rfam family: Bacterial small subunit ribosomal RNA
Source: RNAcentral